GAUGAACGCUGGCGGCGUGCCUAAUACAUGCAAGUCGAGCGAACGGACGAGAAGCUUGCUUCUCUGAUGUUAGCGGCGGACGGGUGAGUAACACGUGGAUAACCUACCUAUAAGACUGGGAUAACUUCGGGAAACCGGAGCUAAUACCGGAUAAUAUUUUGAACCGCAUGGUUCAAAAGUGAAAGACGGUCUUGCUGUCACUUAUGGAUGGAUCCGCGCUGCAUUAGCUAGUUGGUAAGGUAACGGCUUACCAAGGCAACGAUGCAUAGCCGACCUGAGAGGGUAAUCGGCCACACUGGAACUGAGACACGGUCCAGACUCCUACGGGAGGCAGCAGUAGGGAAUCUUCCGCAAUGGGCGAAAGCCUGACGGAGCAACGCCGCGUGAGUGAUGAAGGUCUUCGGAUCGUAAAACUCUGUUAUUAGGGAAGAACAUAUGUGUAAGUAACUGUGCACAUCUUGACGGUACCUAAUCAGAAAGCCACGGCUAACUACGUG
This 497-nucleotide ribosomal RNA is filed under the name uncultured bacterium. RNAcentral's name for it is "partial 16S ribosomal RNA". It matches the Rfam family "Bacterial small subunit ribosomal RNA", at positions 28 to 507 of the family's 1533-position model. The record is from RNAcentral.